CGCGCGGGGCCAGACGCGAGGCCUGCCGCCGCCCAGGAGUGGAGACCAGGAAGGGCGGGAGUCGGGCCGUAAAAGGCCAGGCGGGCGGCGGCCGAAGAGAAGCCGGUUUCUAAUCCCGCUCGGCGGCCACCGCUUCUCCGCAGGCGCAGCCGGCGCCCCCACGUGACCGGCGCAGAGGGAGGAGCUACGCCCGGCGCCGCGGAGCACAGAAGAUUUGCCCCGCCUGGUCAUGUGACAGUCACUGCCCGCCCCCGUGUCCCCUCCCGAACUUUGGAACUUCCAGACUGACCCCCAUCUGCGUCUCCGUUCCGCGGUUCUUUAGUUCAUUCAUACUUAGAGCAUUUAUUGAGUGCAUACUAAGUACGAGGCGAAGUGCUGGUCAGGGGCUGAGAGUAGCGAAAUUCAUUAAAGACUCAGUCCUGCCUAAAUAAAUCAUGAUACAAAUAGGAAAAUAAAAAUUAUGCAACCUUUGAAGAUAAGGUGAUUGAAAUACCUAUUAAACUGAAUGUUAGGCCAGAAAGAUUGAAACAUUCCAAGAAAUUAGUAUGAGAUUUGCCUCCCAAAGAUCAGCCACUCCCAGGGAGGGACAAAAGUCAAUCAUGGAAAGUUCAGAAUAAUGACGAAAGAAGUAAUCCCAAAACCCCUUCCCUGCAGCCAAAAGACUUGGCACCAGGAGGAACCGUCCUAGAGCCAAAUACACGUACUCAGAUGGCCUGGGUUUUAAUCCAAACUCUGCUGCUUCCUGGCCAUGUACCUACUACCCACCUACUUAAUAACUGUUGUAAAAAUGGGAAGAUUUGAAACCAGGCAGUCUGGCUCAAAUCUAAGCUUUUAACCACGCUGCUUUCUUUACCAAUGACAACAUCCACUCACUCUAUUGGAUUGUGAAGAUUAAAGGAGUUAAUUCAUGUGAAAGGGCUUCAGUGCCUAUGUACCUAGCAAAGACACACUUGCUCUCACUCACCUAUGUGUGAUCUGUGGGUGUAGGUGUGUGUAUAUGUACACAUGUAAUCUCAGAAGGUAAGAAAACAUUUUCUCUGUACCAAGGAUAGAGUGGUGGUUCAAUAUAUAUGGCCUAUCUGAUCUCAAUCUUCACAAUUUCCUAUAAAACAGAUUGUAUUAUUCUUCCCAUUGUAUAUGAGGAACUGAAGCUCCAAAGCAGCAAAGUAGACAGACACAUGGCAGAGAAACUAUAGUGAGAGUGAAUAUGUAGAUCUAGUGUUCUCUGACUCGAUCAUGUAUGACCCCUUCCUCUACUCUUCUCAUUUCUCUUCCUCCCUAAGCCAACUAAUAAAUAAAAUUCAAUUACUACCUA
Neofelis nebulosa (Clouded leopard) is the source of this 1315-nucleotide long non-coding RNA. RefSeq lists it as uncharacterized. The record is from RefSeq and is a predicted model, not a curated record. NCBI's taxonomy places the organism in Eukaryota, Metazoa, Chordata, Mammalia, Carnivora, Felidae. The transcript has 2 exons.